Non-coding RNA from Acanthosepion pharaonis, 113 nucleotides. The record is from the annotation of a GenBank genome assembly. Lineage: Eukaryota; Metazoa; Mollusca; Cephalopoda; Sepiida; Sepiidae.
UUACGGCCAUAUCACCUUGAAGCACCGGUUCCCGUAUAAUCACUGAAGUUAAGCAAAAUUGGGCUUGGUCAGUACCUAGGUGGGUGACUGCUUAGAGUUACCGGAUGCUGUAU